Non-coding RNA from Gossypium hirsutum (cotton), 145 nucleotides. NCBI's taxonomy places the organism in Eukaryota, Viridiplantae, Streptophyta, Magnoliopsida, Malvales, Malvaceae. The record is from Rfam.
UCUUAAAAAUAAUUUCUAUUUGUAUUGUUAAAAACUGACAUGGUUGACGGAAUAACUAGACGAUGACAUGUCCCAUGCCAUGUGUACCUCAUGCUAAUGUACAAGGAUCAAUUUUUAACAGCAAAAGUAAAUGAAAUUUUUAAUA